GUGAUCGUAGCUCAAAUGGAUAGAGCAACGGAUUCCUAAUCCGGAGAAGUAGGUUCGAGUCCUGCCGAUCAUA
Molecule: transfer RNA, 73 nt
Filed under: Ceratocystis platani
Lineage: Eukaryota; Fungi; Ascomycota; Sordariomycetes; Microascales; Ceratocystidaceae
Rfam family: tRNA
About the family: Transfer RNA (tRNA) molecules are approximately 80 nucleotides in length. Their secondary structure includes four short double-helical elements and three loops (D, anti-codon, and T loops).
Source: Rfam by way of RNAcentral